RNAcentral lists this ribosomal RNA (252 nucleotides) under uncultured Allobaculum sp. RNAcentral describes it as "partial 16S ribosomal RNA". It matches the Rfam family "Bacterial small subunit ribosomal RNA", at positions 524 to 776 of the family's 1533-position model. The record is from RNAcentral. Lineage: Bacteria; Bacillati; Bacillota; Erysipelotrichia; Erysipelotrichales; Erysipelotrichaceae.
UACGUAGGUGGCGAGCGUUAUCCGGAAUGAUUGGGCGUAAAGGGUGCGUAGGCGGCCUGCUAAGUCUGGAGUGAAAGGUACCGGCUCAACCGGUACAGGCUCUGGAAACUGGCGGGCUAGAGAGCAGGAGAGGGCGGUGGAACUCCAUGUGUAGCGGUAAAAUGCGUAGAUAUUAGGAGGAACACCGGCGGCGAAGGCGGCCUGCUGGACCGUAACUGACGUUGAGGCUCGAAAGCGUGGGGAGCAAACAGG